UACAGAGGUCUCAAGCGUUGUUCGGAUUCAUUGGGCGUAAAGGGCGCGUAGGCUGCGGGGCAAGUCGGGUGUGAAAUCUCAGAGCUCAACUCUGAAACUGCACUCGAUACUGCUUUGCUUGAGGACUGGAGAGGAGAUUGGAAUUCACGGUGUAGCAGUGAAAUGCGUAGAUAUCGUGAGGAAGACCAGUGGCGAAGGCGGAUCUCUGGACAGUACCUGACGCUGAGGCGCGAAGGCCAGGGGAGCAAACGGG
This 253-nucleotide ribosomal RNA is filed under the name uncultured bacterium. RNAcentral describes it as "partial 16S ribosomal RNA". It matches the Rfam family "Bacterial small subunit ribosomal RNA", at positions 524 to 776 of the family's 1533-position model. The record is from RNAcentral.